AUGUGGCCCCAGGCCAAGAUGACUCUCCCAGGCCAAGGCAGCCAAGAUGAGGAGAGGCCCCCGGCCGUGCCCCGCUGCGCUGGCACUGCAGGCAGGGUGGGCCAGGUGCACCCCAGCCCCACCCGACCCUCAGCUCCUCCAUUCGCAUCUCUGCAGAAAACCACUGUGGGGUGGGGGGAGGGGGAGAGCAGUUCCCCUCUCUGUCCCGCUCCAGGGCCCCUUGGUCCCUGGCCACGCACCCUGCGGGCCACGCACCCCACACGUGGCUCACUCACCCUGCGGACAACACACCCCACACGUGGCUCACUCACCCUGCAGGACACUCACCCCACACGUGACACACUCACCCUGCAGGCCACGCACCCCAUACGUGACACACUCACCCUGCGGACAACACACCCCACACGUGGCACACUCACCCUGCAGGACACUCACCCCACACGUGGCACACUCACCCUGCAGGACACUCACCCCACACGUGGCACACUCACCCUACGGACAACACACCCCCACACGUGGCUCACCCACCCCUGCGGGCCACGCACCCCACACGUGGCACACUCACCCUGCGGACCACGCACCCCACACGUGGCACACACCCUGUGGACAACACACCCCACACGUGGCUCACUCACCCUGUGGACAACACACCCCACACGUGGCUCACUCACCCUGCAGGACACUCACCUCACACAUUGCACACUCACCCUGUGGGCCACACACCCCACAUGUGGCACACUCACCCUGCCACUCCCUGAGAUGCCUUCUAGGCCCAAAGUCGCGGGACCAGACAGAGCUGGGAUUCCAGCCAGGUCUGCUCGACCCACAGCCCAGAGGUCAGCAGGAAAGCCCGCUGUGGUCAGGGGUCAGGUGCCGCACAGUAGUGGUCAGAGAAGCCGAGGCGUUCGCAGGCUGUGGGCAGCCCAGACGCCAGCUGGGGCUCCGGGCCCGAGGCGGACCUGCAGAAGCCACCUCCCCACCUUCCUGCCCCCCCAUCCCUGCCCCCAUGGCCACCCCCACUUCAAGCCAGAUCAUCUGGCUCUGAGGCCCUUGCCUGGUAGCCCGCCGCCCCUGACGUCCGCUGGCUCACGCCUCAGCCCAGGAGACUGCCAGAGUGGGCCAGGUACUGGUCAGGACCCCCCUGCUCCCCGGAAGGCACAGUGCCGACAUAGUCUCCCAGCCUCAGCUUGGCCCUCAGAAGACCCUGCAGGGGCCCACGCCUGUCAGAGCCAGGACUGGGAGGUCCCGGGCCCAGUCCUGUCUGCCCCACCCCGGAAAUGA
This 1281-nucleotide long non-coding RNA is filed under the name Oryctolagus cuniculus (rabbit). Its description in RNAcentral is "lncRNA (ENSOCUG00000029791.1)". The record is from RNAcentral. Lineage: Eukaryota; Metazoa; Chordata; Mammalia; Lagomorpha; Leporidae.